Molecule: ribosomal RNA, 2125 nt
Filed under: Pyrobaculum sp. WP30
Lineage: Archaea; Thermoproteati; Thermoproteota; Thermoprotei; Thermoproteales; Thermoproteaceae
Description: 16S ribosomal RNA
Rfam family: Archaeal small subunit ribosomal RNA (bases 279-2125)
Source: RNAcentral
ACCGGUUGAUCCUGCCGGACCCGACCGCUAUCGGGGUAGGGCUAAGCCAUGCGAGUCGCGCGCCCGGGGGCGCCCGGGAGCGGCGCACGGCUCAGUAACACGUGCCCAACCUACCCUCGGGAGGGGGACACCCCCGGGAAACUGGGGCCAAUCCCCCAUAGGGGAAGGGCGCUGGAAGGCCCCCUCCCCGAAAGGACGGCGGCCGAUCCGCCGCCGCCCGCCCGAGGAUGGGGGCACGGCCCAUCAGGUAGUUGGCGGGUUAAAGGCCCGCCAAGCCGAAGACGGGUAGGGGCGGUGAGAGCCGCGAGCCCCGAGAUCGGCACUGAGACAAGGGCCGAGGCCCUACGGGGUGCAGCAGGCGCGAAUACUCCGCAAUGCGGGCAACCGCGACGGGGCUACCCCGAGUGCCGGGCGAAGAGCCCGGCUUUUGCCCGGUCUAAAACGCCGGGAGAAUAAGCGGGGGGCAAGUCUGGUGUCAGCCGCCGCGGUAAUACCAGCUCCGCGAGUGGUCGGGGUGUUUACUGGGCUUAAAGCGCCCGUAGCCGGCCCGGCAAGUCGCUCCUGAAAUCCCAGGGCUCAACCCUGGGGCGGGGGGCGAUACUGCCGGGCUAGGGGGCGGAAGAGGCCGCCGGUACUCCGGGGGUAGGGGCGAAAUCCGUUAAUCCCCGGAGGACCACCAGUGGCGAAAGCGGGCGGCCAGAACGCGCCCGACGGUGAGGGGCGAAAGCCGGGGGAGCAAAGGGAUUAGAUACCCCUGUAGUCCCGGCCGUAAACGAUGCGGGCUAGCUGUCGGCUGGGCUUAGGGCCCGGCCGGUGGCGAAGGGAAACCGUUAAGCCCGCCGCCUGGGGAGUACGGCCGCAAGGCUGAAACUUAAAGGAAAGGGAGGUUGGGAGCUGGGCGCGAAGGCUUAAAUAGCUCCCCGGCCCUCUAGGGCAUGGUGACGCUCAACGGGGAGCUGGCCUACUUAGCAGGAGCUUUACGAGACGGGACUGUGGUGAUUAGAAGCGGGUACGACUACGAGGUCAGGCUUGCGCAGAAGAGCCGCGAGUGGCUUGAGGUGCUAAACGACCUCUUUGCGAGGAUCUUCGGGAGAAGCGGCUCCAUAUACCGCGAGAAGAGGAGAGGCGCGUCCGGCGCCGUGAGGGCAUAUUACGUCCUGAGGAUAUUCGACAAGAGAGUAGUCGGCGAGCUGAUAAGGCUCUUCGACAUAGCUACGCCGCAGACCAGGUGGGGAACCCCCGACAUAAUAAGGCGCGCAGGCGCAGACAUUGUGAAGCACUACGUGAGGGGGUUCUUCGACGCCGAAGGCGGCUUGCCCAAAGACCCCACCCGCGCCAAACAGCACUACAUCUCCUUCGACCAGGCAAACCUCGACGCCCUGGCCUUCAUCAGAAGCCAACUGGCGCAGAUGGGCUACCGCCCUACGAGGAUCACCAAGACGGGUAGCGUGUGGCAGUUCAGGCUGACGCGGAGGGCCGACAUUAUGAGAUUUAAAAACGAAAUCGGGUCGUGGCACCCCGAAAAGAAGCGGAGGCUCGACCUCCUGUACGCCUCCCUGGGACGACAAGACCUCCUUUUCCCCUCCAGUCCUCUUCAUCCAUCCGCCCAGCUCCCGCCUCCCCCUGAAUUGGCGGGGGGGCACCACAAGGGGUGAAGCUUGCGGCUUAAUUGGAGUCAACGCCGGAAACCUCACCCGGGGCGACAGCAGGAUGAAGGCCAGGCUAACGACCUUGCCGGACGAGCUGAGAGGAGGUGCAUGGCCGUCGUCAGCUCGUGCCGUGAGGUGUCCGGUUAACCCGUACCCACCACGGGGCCGAAAGUCCGGCAACGAGCGAGACCCCCACCCCUAGUUGCUACCCGGCCCUUCGGGGCCGGAGGCACACUAGGGGGACUGCCGGCGUAAGCCGGAGGAAGGAGGGGGCCACGGCAGGUCAGUAUGCCCCAAAACCCCGGGGCUGCACGCGAGCUGCAAUGGCGGGGACAGCGGGACCCGACCCCGAAAGGGGGAGGCAAUCCCGUAAACCCCGCCCCAGUAGGGAUCGAGGGCUGCAACUCGCCCUCGUGAACGUGGAAUCCCUAGUAACCGCGUGUCACCAACGCGCGGUGAAUACGUCCCUGCCCCUU